This 1726-nucleotide long non-coding RNA is filed under the name Homo sapiens (human). RNAcentral's name for it is "HSALNT0308596". Lineage: Eukaryota; Metazoa; Chordata; Mammalia; Primates; Hominidae. The record is from RNAcentral.
UGGAGUCUGAUGACCAAGGGCAGGAAGCAUCCAGCACGGGACAAAGAAGAAAGCCAGAAGACUCAGCAAGCCAGCUCAUCUCACUUUCUUCUGCCUACUUUGUUGUAGCUGAGCUGGCAGCCAGUUGGAUGGUGCACACUCACAUUGAGGAUUGGGAGGCUGCUGUGUAUGGAUAAGAUACCUGCUACAGCCAGCUUGACACCAUGAGAAGGACAAGAGAAUUGCAGAGACACAUAUCCAGGAUUCUGAUCCAGUUGAGGCACUGAAAUAAUCUAGAACCACCUUCAAAUUUCUUAUAAAGAGAGCUAUGCUAUUAGGAUUUAAUUAAAUGGAUGCCAACAGCAAGUAAACCAUCUCCAAAGAUGCCAUGAAGCUCUCCUAAUUGCAGGAAAAUAUCAGAGGCACUUGAUUUGAGUCUUUCAAGUACGGAAAUAACAAAUUCAGUCUCAACAGACCUAUAGUGAAUGAGAAUGAUUGUCACAUAAUGUGUAGAGAAAAUGGAAGAAUCAAAGGCAAGGGAAACCUGUACAGUGGAGACACAAAGGGUCACUGGCAGAUUUCAAAUGAUCCAAGACAUCCUCAAAAUCCUUCCAAACCACAAGGAAAAUCACCAGGCCAAAAGUGAGGUUUGAAGUCUGGACAUGUACUGGUUUUCUCUAGCAAUCGACUCUCAAUUUUUGGACAUUGAGAUCUGCUGGUUGGAGAUCUUAGUGCCCAAGGAAGAAUGCUUGCAAAAGGAGAUGGAACAGUGUUUCUGUUGCAUUGGCCACUGAGAAUAUCUGGUUAUUUUGAAUUUGUCACAGUCUGCAGCUAAAAGGCGAACAGGAAAAGAAGAGAGAGCGGUAAUUUGAAUGAUAGCAGAUUUCACAUCAGGAACCAAUGAAGCUAGAUAAGAAUGCAACAUCUUUGAUGUCUAAAAGAAACAAAAAGCCAACCUUGAAUUCUUUAUUUAGUGAAGUUACCCUUCAGAAAUGACGGCAAAAUAAAGAUGUUUUCCAAUAAAAGACAACUAUGAGAAUUCUUCACCAGCAGUCCUAUUGUAUCAGAACAGCCAAAAGAAGUUUGUCAGCCUACAGGGAAUUAUAUCAAAGGGAAGACUUGACCUUGAAAAUGAAUGAGGAAUAUAAGAAAUUGAUAUUAUCUGGGAAGCGGCACAUGAGACUAGCAGGAGUAAAUGUUAUAUACACUGGGCCUCGCAAAAAUUCUGCAAUCACUGGGAAUCAGUAACCUGGUAGAAUGAGAAAACAACGUAAUACUGAAAAAUCAAAACACCAUCCUACAGAACUUUGAUGCAUUCAGAACAAAGAUCACGAAUCAAGCUGAAAAAGUAAAGCAUUCUGUGAGUUGUGGAAUGGAAAUUGCCUCAACCAUCUCACCACUUGAUGACACUUGUAAUUUCAGUGACCCAAUUCAAGCAAUCAAACAUCAAGUAAUACUCUCAAUAAAGAUGUGUAAUUAAAACAGAAGAGGAAACAGACUAACAGAAGUGAUGAAGAAUGGCAGUUCUAAGGAUGGCAGGAAUUCACUGAAUGUCUAUCUAUCAUGUAUGCUGUUGGAGGCACCUGUCUUUCAGUUCAGAGGUUAUGGAUGUAUCUAUCAUCAGUAUUUCGGGAAGUCAGGGACCCGGAACAGAGGGACUUAAUGAAGCUGUGGCAGAAGAAAAAAUUAUGAAGAUUUCAUGGACAUUUAUUAGUUCCCCAAAUUAAUACUUUUAUAAUUUCUUACA